CCUACGGGAGGCUGCAGUGGGGGAUAUUGCACAAUGGGGGAAACCCUGAUGCAGCGACGCCGCGUGGGUGAAGAAGCGCCUCGGCGCGUAAAGCCCUGUCAGCAGGGAAGAAAAUGACGGUACCUGAAGAAGAAGCCCCGGCUAACUACGUGCCAGCAGCCGCGGUAAUACGUAGGGGGCAAGCGUUAUCCGGAUGUACUGGGUGUAAGGGGGGCGCAGACGGGGUGGCAAGCCAGGAGUGAAAGCCGGGGGCUCAACCCCGGAACUGCUCUUGAAACUGCGGGGCUAGAGUGCAGGAGGGGCAGGCGGAAUUCGUGGUGUAGCGGUGAAAUGCGUAGAUAUCAGGAAGAACCCCGGUGGCGAAGGCGGCUUGCUGAACUGCAACUGACGUUGAGGCCCGAAAGCGUGGGGAGCAAACAGGAUUAGAUACCCGGGUAGUC
Molecule: ribosomal RNA, 440 nt
Filed under: uncultured bacterium
Lineage: Bacteria
Description: partial 16S ribosomal RNA
Rfam family: Bacterial small subunit ribosomal RNA
Source: RNAcentral